This 283-nucleotide ribosomal RNA is filed under the name Lepidotrigona ventralis. Its description in RNAcentral is "partial large subunit ribosomal RNA". The record is from RNAcentral. Lineage: Eukaryota; Metazoa; Arthropoda; Insecta; Hymenoptera; Apidae.
ACGAUAAGACCCUAUAGAAUUUUAUAUUAACUUUACCUAGCGGUUAAUGCUGGUUUUUUGUUAAUAUUUGGUUGGGAGGAUUAUUAAAUUUAACAAACUUUAUAUCAUUAUAAACUUUGAUUUAAGAAAAUAUAAUGACCUUCAAUUUGAAAUAGUUAGAGUAAAUUACCUUAGGGAUAACAGCGUAAUAUUUUUUUAUAGACCUUAUAGAAAAAAAUGGUUGCGACCUCGAUGUUGAAUUAAGAUAAAUUUUAAAUGCAGGAGUUUAAUAAUUAAGUCUGUU